UACGUAGGGUGCGAGCGUUGUCCGGAAUUAUUGGGCGUAAAGGGCUCGUAGGCGGUUUGUCGCGUCGGGAGUGAAAACCUCGGGCUUAACUCGGGGCUUGCUUUCGAUACGGGCAGACUGGAGGUAUGCAGGGGAGAACGCAAUUCCUGGUGUAGCGGUGAAAUGCGCAGAUAUCAGGAGGAACACCGGUGGCGAAGGCGGUUCUCUGGGCAUGACCUGACGCUGAGGAGCGAAAGCCAGGGGAGCAAACGGG
This 253-nucleotide ribosomal RNA is filed under the name uncultured bacterium. RNAcentral describes it as "partial 16S ribosomal RNA". It matches the Rfam family "Bacterial small subunit ribosomal RNA", at positions 524 to 776 of the family's 1533-position model. The record is from RNAcentral.